RNAcentral lists this ribosomal RNA (411 nucleotides) under Bacillota bacterium. RNAcentral describes it as "Firmicutes bacterium partial 16S ribosomal RNA". It matches the Rfam family "Bacterial small subunit ribosomal RNA", at positions 355 to 776 of the family's 1533-position model. Lineage: Bacteria; Bacillati; Bacillota. The record is from RNAcentral.
UGGGGAAUCUUGCGCAAUGGGCGAAAGCCUGACGCAGCGACGCCGCGUGGGGGAAGAAGGCCCUCGGGUUGUAAACCCCUUUCGGCAGGGAAGAAGCCGCAAGGUGACGGUACCUGCAGAAGAAGUCCCGGCUAACUACGUGCCAGCAGCCGCGGUAAGACGUAGGGGACGAGCGUUGUCCGGAUUUAUUGGGCGUAAAGAGCGCGUAGGCGGCUCGGAAAGUCGGUUGUGAAAUCCCAGGGCUCAACCCCGGGACUGCGUCCGAUACUGCCGAGCUAGAGGCAGGUAGGGGAGAUCGGAAUUCCUGGUGUAGCGGUGAAAUGCGCAGAUAUCAGGAGGAACACCGGUGGCGAAGGCGGAUCUCUGGGCCUGUCCUGACGCUGAGGCGCGAAAGCUAGGGGAGCGAACAGG